UACGUAGGGGGCAAGCGUUAUCCGGAUUUACUGGGUGUAAAGGGAGCGUAGGUGGUCUGAUAAGUCAGAUGUGAAAGCCCGGGGCUCAACCCCGGGACUGCAUCUGAUACUAUCAGGCUUGAGUGCAGGAGAGGUAAGUGGAAUUCCUAGUGUAGCGGUGAAAUGCGUAGAUAUUAGGAGGAACACCAGUGGCGAAGGCGGCUUACUGGACUGUAACUGACACUGAGGCUCGAAAGCGUGGGGAGCAAACAGG
This 253-nucleotide ribosomal RNA is filed under the name uncultured bacterium. Its description in RNAcentral is "partial 16S ribosomal RNA". It matches the Rfam family "Bacterial small subunit ribosomal RNA", at positions 524 to 776 of the family's 1533-position model. The record is from RNAcentral. RNAcentral also lists the same sequence under 1 other name.